Molecule: ribosomal RNA, 429 nt
Filed under: Chloroflexota bacterium
Lineage: Bacteria; Bacillati; Chloroflexota
Description: Chloroflexi bacterium partial 16S ribosomal RNA
Rfam family: Bacterial small subunit ribosomal RNA
Source: RNAcentral
UGGGGAAUAUUGCACAAUGGGCGCAAGCCUGAUGCAGCCAUGCCGCGUGUAUGAAGAAGGCCUUCGGGUUGUAAAGUACUUUCAGCGGGGAGGAAGGGAGUAAAGUUAAUACCUUUGCUCAUUGACGUUACCCGCAGAAGAAGCACCGGCUAACUCCGUGCCAGCAGCCGCGGUAAUACGGAGGGUGCAAGCGUUAAUCGGAAUUACUGGGCGUAAAGCGCACGCAGGCGGUUUGUUAAGUCAGAUGUGAAAUCCCCGGGCUCAACCUGGGAACGGCAUCUGAUACUGGCAAGCUUGAGUAUCGUAGAGGGGGGUAGAAUUCCAGGUGUAGCGGUGAAAUGCGUAGAGAUCUGGAGGAAUACCGGUGGCGAAGGCGGCCCCCUGGACGAAGACUGACGCUCAGGUGCGAAAGCGUGGGGAGCAAACAGG